UCAGCCAGAGAGGAAGAGAAAACUGAAUCAGGCUGCUGCCCUCGGACUUCAAGGGGGCAAAAGUCUUUGGAGGCAGCCUGGCCACCCAGCCCACUUCAUUUAAGAGAGUGAAGGGGCUUGGUUCCAGAGAAGACCAGGAAAGGAAUGGGAGUGAUAAGAACUAGGGAUAAACAAAGAUGAGAGCUGCCCACUGUCAGAGACAGGAAUGAAAAGGAUUUGCUCUGAGCAUCAAUGGAUAAACUGUUCUGUUUGGAAUAACCAUGGAUCCCGCUAUGGAAACCUUAUAGUAUUCCAGAGUUUUGAUGCAAUCAGAACAAUGUAAAUCAUCAAAAGGAACAUGUAGAGAAUGUCAUGGUAGAUAAAGACUCCCUCUUGUAACUGGGCUUGGUACAGGACAUCAUGACUAGUAAAUGUGGGAGAUUUAUGUCAUCUGCAAAAUUUGAUGAGUGUGUCAUCUAUAACUUUACCCAAAUCAUUGAUUUUUUAAAAAAAAAAAAGUUAAGCAGGACCAAAGACAGCUCCUUGGAGAUACUCCAGUGAAGACCUUCUGCUAUAUUGUCACUGGAUCAUUAACAAGAGAAGCACAAAGAAGAGAAGAAGUCUACAAGGUAAAUGAGUAUUCUGAGAUGGAAGGGACCUGAUACAACCCAGCAAAUAGCUGGGCAGAAGAGUGAUUUGCCCAUCAUUAAUACCAAACCCUGUGUUGAACUUCAUGAGGACUCCACAAAGAAAGAGGACUCUCAGAGCCAGUAGUCAUGAGACACCCGUGGGCCUCAUAUGCAUUUUGCUACCUUUGUACUUCGAGUUUCAACCUAUUCUUACCAUCAACUUUGCAUAUACAGAGAGAGAGUGAGCACCCCAUGUUGGUAGGAAUGUUUUAUACAAAUUGUUAUUCCUUCUCAGCAAAUUUCUUUUGAGGGGAAAUAUUUUUCAUACCAUCUUAGUAAAGUUCUUAAAGAAGAUGAAGUUCAACUGGUUGAUUGAUACUGGGGACCACACUGCUGGGGGCUCAGGAGCCGUAGUGCUAGAUGCUGAAAAGAGAAUCUUGAAAGGAGAAGUAGCACCCACUCUCUGGGAACCACUUGACAAUACUGGAAAUCAUUUUCACCCAGAAGAAUGAGGGAAGACUUCACCUAAAGGGAAUCUCCACUGGGCUUUGAAGAGAGAGAAAGAUCAUAUAUUUCAAGGUAUAAGGUACUUUAAAGAUCAUUUUGUCUGAUAAUUUCUCAACCUGCUCAGGCUAAGAUUAAGUGGAGAUAAUCUUAUCCAACCAUUUCAUACAAAACUAAGAUCUAGGUAGUUUAAGUGACUUGCCCAAGGUCAUACAGGUUAGUAAGAUGCAGGAUUUGAACCCAGGCCUUCUAUCCCUAGUACUCUUUCCAUUAAAUUAUGUGAAGUAGAAAUGAGACAUAAGUGUCUUCCAGGCAUGGGGAGCAGCUAGCAUGAGUACAUGAAGAUAGGAGAGGGCAGAGGAAAAUUGGGGACCAGCUAACAGUUUGGCUAGAAUGUAAGUUAUGAAAUGACAAUGUGUGAAAUAAGUCUGGAAAUGACUUUUGGUAUCAGAUUUUGAAGGGUCUUAAAUGUCAGGAUGAAGAGUUUGUCUUUCAUCCUAGAGGCAACAGAGAACCACUGAAGAAGGGGAAUGCUUCCAUUAAUUUUUUUAUCAGCUGCAUGAAGAAUAGACUGGAGAGUGUCCAAACUGAUGGUAGCCAGACCACUUAUGAAGUUAAUAUGAUAUUCCAAGCCAGAGGCAAUGCGGAUGCAAGUUAGGGUGAUGGCCAUGUUACUGGAGAGGAGCAGAUGGAUAUAUGAGAUGCUUUAGCAAAAGAAUCAACAGAUUUUGGCAACUGCUUGGACAUAGUUGGUAUGGGAGCCAGCAGAAUGAAAGAUGACUUCCAAUUCCCUGAACAGGAGUGAAGAGGUUAAGAGUGAAAUGCAAGUCAGAAAAAAAAUCAAAGUUAUGAUCACUCUCAUCAUGCCUUGUGUGACAUCAUCAGAUACUAUGCACUGGCUUAGCUUAUGUCUAUACUUCACCCUGGGUCCUAAUGAGAGGAGGUGGUCUUGUUAAUAACAGUAAUAAUAAUAAAGGUAUAACUUUACUCUGCA
Molecule: long non-coding RNA, 2106 nt
Organism: Trichosurus vulpecula (common brushtail)
Lineage: Eukaryota; Metazoa; Chordata; Mammalia; Diprotodontia; Phalangeridae
Exons: 5
Source: RefSeq, a predicted model, not a curated record